This 590-nucleotide unclassified non-coding RNA is filed under the name Mizuhopecten yessoensis (Yesso scallop). Its description in RNAcentral is "uncharacterized LOC110447001, transcript variant X7". Lineage: Eukaryota; Metazoa; Mollusca; Bivalvia; Pectinida; Pectinidae. The record is from RNAcentral.
CUAAUGUUAUCAUGUUACAUGUAUAUGCGACGUUAAAUAAAGGUUCUUGACUCUUGACUCUUCAUAGAAAAGUAUACUUAUAUUCACUUUCAGUUUAUGUGUAAAAUCUAUGUGUAUAAUCAACACACCGUUACACACGUAUGACUACGUCAUGUGUAAACAUUGACAGGAAUGAACGUGUCUGUUGUCUCUUGACUCUUCUUACAAAAGUAUACUUACUUUCACUUUCGGUUUAUGUGUAAAAUCUAAGCAGGAAACAAAAUUGAAAAAUUCCUACUGACCACCAUAUGAUCCAAUUCCUUGGCGACUGUUGCUAAUAACAGAGACUUAUGGCCAUGUCUCAUCCAGUCAAUCUAUCGAAUGAUGGGUCAACUAUUAGGACAACCAAAAGGAAUCAUUUCGAGGAGAAAGUACCUGAAACAGCGGCCGCCGGAAUUCAUACAUCAAAUGAUAUUCAGAAUUCAAAUGGCAAGGGAUCAAAGGUCGUGCUUGGAAGGACACUCCUUUACCUGGUCACUAUGUAUACACAGGCCACACGGAAGCCAGUAUCAUGUACGAUACUAGACGUUUUCAACUUACAGAAUUACCUC